GGUAAAUAAGAAGGUGUCUUUUUCUUGGAAAGUCUUCUUCUUCAUCAACUCUUUUUUCUGCACAUAUCCCUCAACAGUACUGCUCACACAUCACACACACACGCACACACACUGAACAUUAUGUGUGAUUAGACAGGCAUAUAUAUACAUAUAUAGCAGAAAAACGUUCCAAUUAUAUUGGAAUAAUGGGAUUUCUGAAAGAUGAAGGCGUGGUUUACAAGCCCGUUGACAGUGUUGAUCUUGGCCCUGACAGCAAGGAAGUUUAUCUCCGAGCCAAUGUUAAAGCACCUCGAAUGGCUGGCUUUCUAGUUAAAGUUUUUGCUUGGCUCUUGGAGUCGAGAAUUUUUGGAGCUCUUAUGUUAUACAUCCUCAAGAAAAACAAUCUGAUUCAUAAGCUAGUUUCAUUUGCGGAGUUGCAAGAAUCACCUCUUUUUGUGCCAUUGCACCCUCAUGAAGGGCAUGGUGAAGAAGAAAAAUGCACCAAGCCUGAUCAUCUUUCUCCUGUGGAACAAGUUCAAUUGGCUACUGAUUGUCUUCAAACUUCAGAGGAAAUGAAUAAAAUUAAUCCAAAACUUAGUUUUCAACGCUGGACAAUACUGGAUUAUUCAAGAAGAUAUAUGUCUCAAGAAGUAACUCCUGUCAUGGUAGCAAAGAAGUUUAUAGCAGCUGUGAAUGAAUCAUCCAAGCCUUUACGACCUAUGUCAUUCUUUAUUGAUUUCAAUCCUGAAGAUAUAUUACAACAAGCUACCGAAUCAACUCAUCGGUAUGAACGAGGUGAGCCAAUAUCUGUUCUAGAUGGAGUUCUGAUUGCCAUUAAAGAUGAAAUAGAUUGUCUACCAUAUCCAACCACAGGAGGUACAAAGUGGCUGCACAAAGUAAGACCGUGCAUUGAAGAUGCCUGCUGUGUUAAACGCCUAAGGUCAUGUGGUGCCAUUCUGGUCGGGAAAACAAACAUGCAUGAGCUUGGAGCUGGAACCAGUGGGAUAAAUCCUCAUUAUGGGACAACACGAAAUCCAUAUGACAGCAGCAGAAUUGCUGGUGGUUCUUCUAGUGGAUCUGCUGCUGUGGUAUGUGCAGGACUAUGCCCUGUUGCUCUUGGUGUUGAUGGAGGAGGAUCCGUACGAAUGCCGGCUGCUCUCUGCGGUGUUGUUGGUCUCAAGCCAACAUUUGGACGUGUACCACACUCGGGUGUUCUCCCUCUGAACUGGACAGUUGGGAUGGUUGGGAUACUAACUGGUACAAUUGAAGAUGCACUUAUAGUGUAUGGAGCUAUCAGUGGCCCAAUAUCAUCAGAUCAAUCUGCUCAAGUAAUGGUAUGUGGAGAUAUUACUUCACAUUCAGACGCGGAGUCUAAAGUAUGUUUUCCAUUACUUAAGGCACCAGAGUGCAGAUCUGACAUCAAACUGGCAAAAUAUGGAGAGUGGUUCAAUGACUGCACUGAUGACAUAAGAGUCUGCUGUUCAAAUGCUUUGGCCAAAUUAUUUGAUGUCUAUGGUUGGAAGACGAUAGAGGUUACCAUGCCAGAGAUAGAGGUGAUGCGUCUAGCACAUUACCUGACCAUUGGCUCUGAAUGUAGUACCUCAAUUGCUUGUCAUCUGGAAAAGUUGGAUAUGGCAGAAUUGGGAUGGGAUGCUAGGGUAGCACUUUCCGUCUAUGGUGCCUUCAACAGCAGGGAGUACUUGAACGCCCAGAUGAUUAGGAACCGGCAGCUGCAGUUUUACAUGAAAAUAUUUGCCAAGGCAGAUGUCAUAGUUACACCGACAACUGGUGUAACAGCAUAUCCAAUAAAGGAUGAUGUUUUGAAGACUGGAGAGUUGGAUUACAUAAAUGGAGGCAUGAAUUGGCUAAUUUUCUAUCCAAAAAAGAAAAGGGGGCAGAAAUCUUAUCUUGGACUUUAUCAUUUCAGCCGCACUAGUUCGAUAUCAGAUAGCAGGGAACUUCUUGGGAUUGCCUGCAGUGACUGUUCCAGUUGGAUAUGAUAAAUCAGGACUGCCAAUUGGUCUUCAAUUUAUCGGGAAGCCAUGGUCCGAAUCUCUGUUAAUCCAUGUAGCCUUCGCAAUGCAAGCACUAUGCAUAUCAGAUUACAGAAGGCCAGAAAUUUUCUAUGAUUUGCUAAGCAAGGAUUAAGUCAAUCUUGACAGAAUUCUACAUGUACUGGCCUUCUCAUUUCCAGGAGAUUAACGAAGUAUUACCAAGAUAAAAGCAGUAAAGGACAGGUUAAUUAGUAUCUAUCUCUUCUAGAGUAAAGGACAGAUAAAUCAAUGUUCUUUGGUAUGCCUGUGAUAUAUAUGCAUUUAUUGUGUCCUGUUUUUAUACAUUUCCAAGUCUUUUUCUUACAUGUAAUGCUACUUUUUGUCACUGUUUUGAAGUAUAUCUACCAAAUGUUUAUCUUAAAACUGGAUGGUAAUGCGUA
RNA transcript from Coffea arabica (coffee), 2413 nucleotides. It is a transcript of the gene named fatty acid amide hydrolase-like, with no coding region annotated. The record is from RefSeq and is a predicted model, not a curated record. NCBI's taxonomy places the organism in Eukaryota, Viridiplantae, Streptophyta, Magnoliopsida, Gentianales, Rubiaceae.